This 341-nucleotide unclassified non-coding RNA is filed under the name Hevea brasiliensis (rubber tree). Lineage: Eukaryota; Viridiplantae; Streptophyta; Magnoliopsida; Malpighiales; Euphorbiaceae. The record is from RNAcentral.
CCUCCCCUAUAAUUGCAAAUAUUUCAUCCACCCUAUGGAUAUCUAUAUUCACCUCUGCCAGCCAUGUUGUUAGGUAAACCUGCAAAAUAUCCUCAUUUGGUUGACUCUUGAAUUGCAUGUUACGCAUAUCAUACUUCCCUUCCACCAAUCUUGGAGGCACUGGUUUACAGGUUUCCUUCGAAUACAAGUUGCAAAUGCUCAGAUCAUCAAAUUCUCCUGGAUAAAGCUCAUUUGACCAAUACAACUCAUUGACUUGUGGAACCUCACAGCUAAUUGUAAGCAACUCCACUACAAGUAGUCUCUUCAAAUUGAGCUCAGAUAUAAACAUUUGAACAAGCUCC